RNAcentral lists this ribosomal RNA (729 nucleotides) under uncultured fungus. RNAcentral describes it as "eukaryotic LSU rRNA". The stretch from base 285 to 438 matches the Rfam family "5.8S ribosomal RNA". The record is from RNAcentral. Lineage: Eukaryota; Fungi.
CUUGGUCAUUUAGAGGAAGUAAAAGUCGUAACAAGGUUUCCGUAGGUGAACCUGCGGAAGGAUCAUUACUGAGUUUAUGAUGGGAAAGUUUGACGCCAAUCUUGGUUGAUUCUUUUCCUGACUAUUUUCUCUUCUCCCUUAUGUUAUAAAUUACCUAGUUGCUUUGGCAGAUCUGCAGCUUUCUUGUUGCAUGUUUGCCAAGGGAUACAUCCAUUAAACUCUUUAUGUUACCAUCAAUAAUUGGUUAUGACUUGUCAGAAUUUUAUACUUUUAAUAGUUUAUAAAACUUUCAACAAUGGAUCUCUUGGUUCUGGCAUCGAUGAAGAACGCAGCAAAAUGCGAUACGUAAUGUGAAUUGCAGAAUUUUGUGAAUCAUUGAAUCUUUGAACGCACAUUGCGCCUUUUGGUAAUCCAGAAGGCAUGCCUGUUUGAGUGUCAGUUCAUCUCUUAAACUAUCUUAUUUUAUGAAUAAGGUGGUUUAGUUUUGGAAAUCAAGCUUUUUCUAUUAUGAUAACGCUUAUUUCUGUAAUAUAGAACUUUAUAGUAUCUCACAUUACUCUUAGUUGUAACAAGUAAUCUGUCAGCUUUAAAAAGUAUGUGAAGAGUACUGCAAACUUUUACAGUGGUGUCAAUCUGUCACUUGUGACUUACUGGCUCUUCUACCUUUUAGUUUGACCUCAAAUCAGGUAAGGAUACCCGCUGAACUUAAGCAUAUCAAUAAGCGGAGGA